GUCCAUAGCUUUCACUAGCCUCCUAAAUGGGGUUGAUGAUGCUAAAAAGUUGAAAGCCAGUACUUUAGAGUUGAAAAGUUGGAUUCAAUGAUGGGAAUAGAUUGAUUGCUUCCAAAAGGUUUCUCUUAAUAUGUCUGAAUAGUAAUUGCUGUGCUUCUUUGUGUAGUAAAAUUCUUAAUGUGGCCUGAUAGCUGUACAGAACAUUUGAGAUUGGGACUGAAAAUCUUAGACAUAUGUUCCUUGGUAGCCAUUAGAUUAUCUAAUUGCCAUUAGUGUUAAGGUGAGCAUAAAGCAAAUUAUUAACUGCAUGGCCCUAAGAAAGUCACCUUAUCUCAUGAGAUCUGUUACCUCAUUUAUAAGACAUUUUUAAAAGGAGGAAUGUGACCUUGAAGAUUUCCAAAACUCCUAGUUUGGAUUCUCUAGAAAAGUGAGAUCAAUGCUGGACUUGGAUGGAGCCCUUUUGUGGCAGAAAUGAACCAGGCUUUGCACAGAAGGAAAAAGACAGAGUGUGCAAAUGAGGAAGAGGCCCGGAGGAUCCAAGAAGCCUCUUCCUCCAUAAAUGGGAAACACAAGCCUGCUGUGGCAAAGAGCCAGUGUAAUCAGGGCAGGAUGAGGGCUACUGGGACACUUUUUAACAUCCAGGACUCUGAGGGAACAGAGACUCAACCUUUACUUUUCACCCUGGGACUGACUUGCCAGAACACAAGUUGUCCCUCAGUGAGUGAAUACACCAUCUUCCCUGCACUAAGAACUUCUGAUUCUCAUAGGAGAAAAUGCUUUGGGUCUUCUCACUUCCCACAUCAGCUGGCUUGGCUGUCUCUGGAAAAUGCUGCACUCCAAAUGGCUGAAGGCACAAGUAAGUCCUAGGGUGAAGCUGUUUGGAGGGGUAAGAGAACCGCUUAUCUGUACUUUAGGAUAUAUUGGAAUCCCACCCCACACCAAUAACUUUCAGCAUAAAAAAUUUUAAACCACUAUUGAUACAUUAUUAUAAACUAUUUUUUACAUCAGAGUUGAGUAUUUGUGUCAUUGUGGUUUAAAUUUUCAAUUUCCUAAAUGAAUAGUGAUGUGGAGCAUCUUUUCUUAUGCUUAUUUGCCAUUCACAUAUUUUCUUGGGUGAAAUGUCUGAUCAAAUCUGUUGCCAUGCCCCUUUGUAAAAUUGAGUUUGAGUUCUAUAAAAAUAUUCUAGAUACAAGCCCUUUAUCAAGUAUAUCAUAUGCAAAUAUUUUCUCCCAACAUAUGGCUUGUCUUUAAUUAACAGUGUAUUUUAAGGAGCAGAAAUUUUUAAUUUUUAUAAAGUCCAGUCUAUCAAUUUGUUCUUUUAUGGAUUGCAUUUUUGGUGCAGUAUUUUAAAAAAUCUUUGCCUAACUGAAGAUCACAAAGGCUUUCUUUUGUUUUCUUCUAGAAGUUUUGGUGUGUUUGUUUGUUUGUUUGUUUGUUUUUUUGAGAUGGAGUUUCACUCUUGUUGCCCAGGCUGGAGUGCAAUGGUGCGAUCUCAGCUCACUGCUACCUCCACCUCCUAGGUUCAAGCGAUUCUCUUGCCUCAGCCUCCUGAAUAUCUGGGAUUACAGAGACUGAAAAACUUGGCUCCUUGGUUUAGAAGCAGUUCUGGCUGAAACUUAGUUCUUUGGAAAUACACAAG
This 1639-nucleotide long non-coding RNA is filed under the name Pan troglodytes (chimpanzee). RNAcentral describes it as "lincRNA". The record is from RNAcentral. Lineage: Eukaryota; Metazoa; Chordata; Mammalia; Primates; Hominidae.